UGGGGAGGGGACAUAGCUCAGUGGUAGAGCAUCCGCCUUGGAUUCAGAAGGUCCCAAGUUCAAUCUAUGGCAUCCUAA
Podarcis lilfordi (Lilford's wall lizard) is the source of this 78-nucleotide non-coding RNA. The record is from the annotation of a GenBank genome assembly. NCBI's taxonomy places the organism in Eukaryota, Metazoa, Chordata, Lepidosauria, Squamata, Lacertidae.